GGCUUAGGACGAACGCUGGCGGCGUGCCUAACACAUGCAAGUCGAGCGAGGAGAUUCCUUCGGGAUGAUCCUAGCGGCGGACGGGUGAGUAACACGUGGGCAACCUGCCUCAUAGAGAGGAAUAGCCUUCCGAAAGGGAGAUUAAUACCUCAUAACAUUGCAGUUUCGCAUGGAACAGCAAUUAAAGGAGUAAUCCGCUAUGAGAUGGGCCCGCGGCGCAUUAGCUAGUUGGUGAGGUAACGGCUCACCAAGGCGACGAUGCGUAGCCGACCUGAGAGGGUGAUCGGCCACAUUGGGACUGAGACACGGCCCAGACUCCUACGGGAGGCAGCAGUGGGGAAUAUUGCACAAUGGGGGAAACCCUGAUGCAAGCAACGCCGCGUGAGUGAUGACGGCCUUCGGGUUGUAAAGCUCUGUCUUCAGGGACGAUAAUGACGGUACCUGAGGAGGAAGCCACGGCUAACUACGUGCCAGCAGCCGC
This 481-nucleotide ribosomal RNA is filed under the name uncultured bacterium. Its description in RNAcentral is "bacterial SSU rRNA". It matches the Rfam family "Bacterial small subunit ribosomal RNA", at positions 21 to 518 of the family's 1533-position model. The record is from RNAcentral.